GGCCGGUCCAAAGGUAGUGAGUUAUCUCAAUUGACUGUUCAUAGUCACAGAUCAAACUCCUUGUUCUCUUCUUUUCCCCUUGUCAAUACUGCACUUGACUAGUCUUAA
RNAcentral lists this Y RNA (108 nucleotides) under Microcebus murinus (gray mouse lemur). RNAcentral's name for it is "Y RNA (ENSMICG00000045213.1)". It matches the Rfam family "Y RNA". Rfam says of the family: Y RNAs are components of the Ro ribonucleoprotein particle (Ro RNP), in association with Ro60 and La proteins. The Y RNAs and Ro60 and La proteins are well conserved, but the function of the Ro RNP is not known. Lineage: Eukaryota; Metazoa; Chordata; Mammalia; Primates; Cheirogaleidae. The record is from Rfam by way of RNAcentral.